GCGCAGGUCUUUCUCAAUGGGGCUUUCCCUGUGGACCCUCAUCAUUGGCAACAUCUCAUAGAGUAACGAUGCGGUGUGCUUUGCUCACAGAGCUAUUUGCUGAAUCUGUGAGAAAGAACUCUGAGAGAAAU
Echinops telfairi (small Madagascar hedgehog) is the source of this 131-nucleotide small nucleolar RNA. The record is from Ensembl. Lineage: Eukaryota; Metazoa; Chordata; Mammalia; Afrosoricida; Tenrecidae.